UACGUAGGGGGCUAGCGUUGUCCGGAAUCAUUGGGCGUAAAGCGCGCGUAGGCGGCCAGAUAAGUCCGGUGUGAAAGUCACAGGCUCAACCUGUGAAUGCCGCUGGAAACUGUCUGGCUCGAGUCCGGGAGGGGCGAGUGGAAUUCCUGGUGUAGCGGUGAAAUGCGCAGAUAUCAGGAGGAACACCAAUUGCGAAGGCAGCUCGCUGGGACGUUACUGACGCUGAGACGCGAAAGCGUGGGGAGCAAACAGG
This 253-nucleotide ribosomal RNA is filed under the name uncultured bacterium. RNAcentral describes it as "partial 16S ribosomal RNA". It matches the Rfam family "Bacterial small subunit ribosomal RNA", at positions 524 to 776 of the family's 1533-position model. The record is from RNAcentral.